ACAUCCAGAGAACUUAGCAGAGAUGCUUUGGUGCCUUCGGGAACUCUGAGACAGGUGCUGCAUGGCUGUCGUCAGUUCGUGUUGUGAAAUGUUGGGUUAAGUCCCGCAACGAGCGCAACCCUUAUCCUUUGUUGCCAGCGGCUCGGCCGGGAACUCAAAGGAGACUGCCGGUGAUAAACCGGAGGAAGGUGGGGAUGACGUCAAGUCAUCAUGGCCCUUACGGCCAGGGCUACACACGUGCUACAAUGGCGCAUACAAAGAGAAGCGACCUCGCGAGAGCAAGCGGACCUCAUAAAGUGCGUCGUAGUCCGGAUUGGAGUCUGCAACUCGACUCCAUGAAGUCGGAAUCGCUAGUAAUCGUAGAUCAGAAUGCUACGGUGAAUACGUUCCCGGGCCUUGUACACACCGCCCGUCACACCAUGGGAGUGGGUUGCAAAAGAAGUAGGUAGCUUAACCUUCGGGAGGGCGCUUACCACUUUGUGAUUCAUGACUGGGGUGAAGUCGUAACAAGGUAAGCGUAGCGAG
RNAcentral lists this ribosomal RNA (525 nucleotides) under uncultured bacterium. Its description in RNAcentral is "bacterial SSU rRNA". It matches the Rfam family "Bacterial small subunit ribosomal RNA", at positions 984 to 1509 of the family's 1533-position model. The record is from RNAcentral.